This 166-nucleotide small RNA is filed under the name Chrysemys picta bellii (western painted turtle). Its description in RNAcentral is "TUC338 (ENSCPBG00000004135.1)". The record is from RNAcentral. Lineage: Eukaryota; Metazoa; Chordata; Testudines; Emydidae.
CUGGAGGCGCUGGAUUCAUAACAAUGUUCUCUGCCUAGAAAGCAAGUACAGUAGGGGCAGUAACAACCUUCCCCACUCCCCCCAUCAAUGUGCCUCAAUCUUAACUUGGAGGGACUGACUCUAGGAGGUUGUGUUCCUCUCUGUUCCCAUCCAUUCCUAAACCCUU